This 1075-nucleotide ribosomal RNA is filed under the name Enterococcus durans. Its description in RNAcentral is "bacterial SSU rRNA". It matches the Rfam family "Bacterial small subunit ribosomal RNA", at positions 66 to 1110 of the family's 1533-position model. Lineage: Bacteria; Bacillati; Bacillota; Bacilli; Lactobacillales; Enterococcaceae. The record is from RNAcentral.
ACGCUUCUUUUUCCACCGGAGCUUGCUCCACCGGAAAAAGAAGAGUGGCGAACGGGUGAGUAACACGUGGGUAACCUGCCCAUCAGAAGGGGAUAACACUUGGAAACAGGUGCUAAUACCGUAUAACAAUCGAAACCGCAUGGUUUUGAUUUGAAAGGCGCUUUCGGGUGUCGCUGAUGGAUGGACCCGCGGUGCAUUAGCUAGUUGGUGAGGUAACGGCUCACCAAGGCCACGAUGCAUAGCCGACCUGAGAGGGUGAUCGGCCACAUUGGGACUGAGACACGGCCCAAACUCCUACGGGAGGCAGCAGUAGGGAAUCUUCGGCAAUGGACGAAAGUCUGACCGAGCAACGCCGCGUGAGUGAAGAAGGUUUUCGGAUCGUAAAACUCUGUUGUUAGAGAAGAACAAGGAUGAGAGUAACUGUUCAUCCCUUGACGGUAUCUAACCAGAAAGCCACGGCUAACUACGUGCCAGCAGCCGCGGUAAUACGUAGGUGGCAAGCGUUGUCCGGAUUUAUUGGGCGUAAAGCGAGCGCAGGCGGUUUCUUAAGUCUGAUGUGAAAGCCCCCGGCUCAACCGGGGAGGGUCAUUGGAAACUGGGAGACUUGAGUGCAGAAGAGGAGAGUGGAAUUCCAUGUGUAGCGGUGAAAUGCGUAGAUAUAUGGAGGAACACCAGUGGCGAAGGCGGCUCUCUGGUCUGUAACUGACGCUGAGGCUCGAAAGCGUGGGGAGCAAACAGGAUUAGAUACCCUGGUAGUCCACGCCGUAAACGAUGAGUGCUAAGUGUUGGAGGGUUUCCGCCCUUCAGUGCUGCAGCUAACGCAUUAAGCACUCCGCCUGGGGAGUACGACCGCAAGGUUGAAACUCAAAGGAAUUGACGGGGGCCCGCACAAGCGGUGGAGCAUGUGGUUUAAUUCGAAGCAACGCGAAGAACCUUACCAGGUCUUGACAUCCUUUGACCACUCUAGAGAUAGAGCUUCCCCUUCGGGGGCAAAGUGACAGGUGGUGCAUGGUUGUCGUCAGCUCGUGUCGUGAGAUGUUUGGGUUAAGUCCCGCAACGAGCGCAACCCUUAUUG